Molecule: long non-coding RNA, 401 nt
Filed under: Sorghum bicolor (sorghum)
Lineage: Eukaryota; Viridiplantae; Streptophyta; Magnoliopsida; Poales; Poaceae
Description: long non-coding RNA (SBIC_LNC018289)
Source: RNAcentral
AUGGGGAGAUCUUGGCGUGUGUCUUGGGUGUGUGGUGAGGGUCGAGUCGACCGAGCAGGAUUUACGACGAGUCUUGGGACAAGUCUUGCCGGGGAAUGCUACCUGGGCGUUCUCCAUGAGAGAUACCUGUGGCGGGUACAUGUGACAGGGAGAGGUCCCGGAGUGGAGUGUCUUCGUGGGACGAAGCACCGGGAUGGGAGGUGCUGUAUAGCACGGGGUAGCCGGGUGUCCCAUCGAGAGGGGCAUCGGCUGGCCCCUCGUGAAGAUGUCCUGUUCGGUUACCCUAAGGACUGAGAUGUUCUGAGAACCGGUUCGUAGGAAGCCUUACACGCCACUCGCCUUAUUAUGGUGCGGGACGGAUGUACGACCAGCUAGUGCGGUGCCACUACUACUAGGUUGAU